Molecule: regulatory RNA element, 93 nt
Organism: Blautia sp. An249
Lineage: Bacteria; Bacillati; Bacillota; Clostridia; Lachnospirales; Lachnospiraceae
Rfam family: NiCo (Nickel/Cobalt) riboswitch aptamer
Source: Rfam
ACAGUACAAACUGAUCAGGCGAUGGAAGUUUUAUCCAUAGGCCGGGCUGCUUCGGCGGCAGCAGAUGAAAGCUGACACAUCUGCGGGACAGUA